AGUGCGAAUGCUGACAUGAGUAACGAUAAAGGGGGUGAGAGGCCCCCUCGCCGAAAAUCCAAGGUUUCCUGCUCAACGCUAAUCGGAGCAGGGUGAGUCGGUCCCUAAGGCGAGGCAGAAAUGCGUAGUCGAUGGAAAACAGGUUAAUAUUCCUGUACCGGUUGUUACUGCGAUGGGAUGACGGAGAAGGUUAGGUUAGCCAACUGUUGGAUAUGUUGGUUUAAGUGUGUAGGCGUGCUUUAUAGGAAAAUCCGUAGAGCUAAGCUGAGGCAUGAUGACGAGUCUCAAUGGAGACGAAGUAACUGAUACCAGGCUUCCAGGAAAAGUCUCUAAGCUUCAGGUAACAAACGACCGUACCCCAAACCGACACAGGUGGAUGGGA
Molecule: ribosomal RNA, 382 nt
Filed under: uncultured Vexilliferidae
Lineage: Eukaryota; Discosea; Flabellinia; Dactylopodida; Vexilliferidae
Description: partial Bacterial large subunit ribosomal RNA
Rfam family: Bacterial large subunit ribosomal RNA
Source: RNAcentral